RNAcentral lists this small RNA (567 nucleotides) under Pan troglodytes (chimpanzee). RNAcentral describes it as "retained intron". The stretch from base 205 to 339 matches the Rfam family "Small nucleolar RNA SNORA48". Lineage: Eukaryota; Metazoa; Chordata; Mammalia; Primates; Hominidae. The record is from RNAcentral.
AGUUUCUAAGGAUCAUGUCUGCGAGCCAGGAUUCCCGAGUAACUGGAAUGAGAUUGUUGACAGCUUUGAUGACAUGAACCUCUCGGAGUCCCUUCUCCGUGGUAUCUACGCCUAUGGUUUUGAGAAGCCCUCUGCCAUCCAGCAGCGAGCCAUUCUACCUUGUAUCAAGGGUGAGACCUCUCAGUCCCAGAAGACAUUGUGGACUGUCCCUGACCUGGGUAGAGUGGCAUCUGGUUGGUGAUGCCCAUCUCAUAUCAGCCAGGGACAAAGCAACUCCUUGUUCAUCCCAGCUUGGCUUUUGAUCCGUGCCCAUGCCUGGUUCAUGCCUUGGACACAUAGUUUUCCUUUAAAGAGGUGGUAUUGUAGCCAGCUUAUACUUGCAUCUACAGCCAUGUUUCUAGUCCAGCUUGGUGUGCAAUACUAGAUGAGUUAAUAACUGGUCCUUGUUUCUGAUCUGGUUCCCAUUGUGUAACUGUUGAUUGGGAAGGUAGUUUGUGAGCCAUGAAAUGCUUGGUUCAUUGGUUGCUUAUUGACCUCAUUAACCUAGGACUUGAAUAUCCCAAAGGG